This is a long non-coding RNA of Dreissena polymorpha, 312 nucleotides long. RefSeq lists it as uncharacterized. The transcript has 2 exons. Lineage: Eukaryota; Metazoa; Mollusca; Bivalvia; Myida; Dreissenidae. The record is from RefSeq and is a predicted model, not a curated record.
UGAAGGUAUUUGACUUCCGGCCAGACUCUCUCUACGACAACAUUCUGGAGGACCGCAGCGGCAACCCCAAAAGCAAGCACGACAUCUGUGGCGAAGACAUGUCCAACUGCACACUUUGGAAGAAACCGGAAAACGUAAUCGUUCGGAACAUCACAGUGUCAACAGAAGUCAGAAACUGGAAUACUGUAUCUCAUUCUGCAUUAAGCUCAAGAAUUCUACACCUGUAAUGUUAUUAACUCUUGCAAUUAAUAUUAUACAUCACCACAGUUACAUAACUAUCUUCUUUGAAAAAAAUAAAAUAAAGAUACUUCA